AGCUACUAAGAGCGAAUGGUGGAUGCCUUGACUGGUAAAGGCGAUGAAGGACGUACUAGACUGCGAUAAGCUACGGGGAGCUGUCAAGAAGCUUUGAUCCGUAGAUUUCCGAAUGGGGCAACCCAAUGUAUAGAGAUAUACAUUACCUAUAUAGGAGCGAACGAGGGGAAUUGAAACAUCUUAGUACCCUCAGGAAAAGAAAUCAAUAGAGAUUGCGUCAGUAGCGGCGAGCGAAAGCGCAAGAGGGCAAACCCAGUGCUUGCACUGGGGGUUGUAGGACUGCAAUGUGCAAGAGGUAAGUUUAGCAGAACAUUCUGGAAAGUAUAACCAUAGAGGGUGAUAGUCCCGUAUGCGAAAAACAAACCUUAGCUAGCAGUAUCCUGAGUAGGGCGGGACACGAGGAAUCCUGUCUGAAUCCGGGUCGACCACGAUCCAACCCUAAAUACUAAUACCAGAUCGAUAGUGCACAAGUACCGUGAGGGAAAGGUGAAAAGAACUGAGGUGAUCAGAGUGAAAUAGAACCUGAAACCAUUUGCUUACAAUCAUUCAGAGCCCUAUGUAGG
This 563-nucleotide ribosomal RNA is filed under the name Campylobacter coli CVM N29716. Its description in RNAcentral is "bacterial LSU rRNA". It matches the Rfam family "Bacterial large subunit ribosomal RNA", at positions 1 to 592 of the family's 2925-position model. Lineage: Bacteria; Pseudomonadati; Campylobacterota; Epsilonproteobacteria; Campylobacterales; Campylobacteraceae. The record is from RNAcentral.